RNAcentral lists this ribosomal RNA (535 nucleotides) under uncultured bacterium. RNAcentral describes it as "partial 16S ribosomal RNA". The record is from RNAcentral.
GGAGUUAGCCGGUGCUUCUUCUGUGAGUGAUGUCCUUCCUGCCGGCUAUUAACCCGCAGGCCUUCUUCCUCACUGAAAGUGCUUUACAACCCGAAGGCCUUCUUCACACACGCGGCAUGGCUGGAUCAGGGUUGCCCCCAUUGUCCAAUAUUCCCCACUGCUGCCUCCCGUAGGAGUCUGGGCCGUGUCUCAGUCCCAGUGUGGCUGAUCAUCCUCUCAGACCAGCUACGGAUCGUCGCCUUGGUGAGCCGUUACCUCACCAACCAGCUAAUCCGACAUAGGCUCAUCCGAUAGCGCGAGGCCCGAAGGUCCCCCGCUUUCCCCCGUAGGGCGUAUGCGGUAUUAGCCUGGGUUUCCCCAGGUUAUCCCCCACUACCGGGCAGAUUCCUAUGCAUUACUCACCCGUCCGCCGCUCGCCACCAGGGAGCAAGCUCCCCGUGCUGCCGCUCGACUUGCAUGUGUUAGGCCUGCCGCCAGCGUUCAAUCUGAGCCAGAAUCGAAACCCUGACUGAGCGGCGGUCGGCGACGGACGGCG